Loxodonta africana (African savanna elephant) is the source of this 3337-nucleotide RNA transcript. It is a transcript of the gene named coiled-coil domain containing 159, with no coding region annotated. The record is from RefSeq and is a predicted model, not a curated record. The transcript is spliced from 9 exons. NCBI's taxonomy places the organism in Eukaryota, Metazoa, Chordata, Mammalia, Proboscidea, Elephantidae.
GGGUGGAAGCAGGUCGGGAGCCCGAGGGCGCAGGAUUCACGGCCGGGGGCGGGACCCAAGCUAGUGACCCCGCCCCCUCCCCAAAGGAUUCUCCCGAGAGGAACUGCGGAAGAAACAGCUGGAUGUGUAAGGGGGUUGACGGGGGAGGGGAUCGCAUGACUGGGACCUGCCUGCAGCUGGCGCUCAGAAAUGCCCCUGCCCCCUUCUCCAAGCCUCCCAGGGCUCCCAUGGCCUUCAGGUCCCAGGUUUUCAGGUGACAUACAAACACUGAGCACCUACUGUAUGCCAGGCACCGGCAUGGAUUAAUUUACUUAAUCACACCAACCCAGGAAUGUGAAUACUAUAACAUUAUAUUUUAAUAGUUGGGGACACUGAGGCAAAGCUAGAAUUUGAACCCAGACCAUCUGGCUGGAGAGUCUCCUUGCUUAACCAUUGUAUUCUACUGCCUCCGGAAGUGAGGGCUUAACCUGAGUCAGUGACUCCUGACGGGUAGCCUAGAACAUUUCAGGCAUAAAAACAGCCCGUACAUCAUGGGGUAGGUGUGAAGACUCAGUGAGUGCUUAGGGUGGUCUCUAGCACUCCGUAGGUGCUCAGUAAAUAUGAGCUUAAAAAAGGAUUAAAGAAGACUUUUCAGAGGAGAUGCUGAGUGGGGCUUUGAAGGGUGUAUAGAAGUCUUCCACAGCAGAUUGGGCCAAGGAAAGGACACCAGGCAGAGGACCCAGCAAGAAUGGCAGAAGAUAAAGUUCUGGAGGGUUUGGUGAACUGGCUAAGCAUGACCCAGGGCAAGGUACCCUUCACCUGGAAGCUUUUCCAGGCAUAACUGCUCCAGGUUUCUCCAUGUGUGCCAAUCCUGACUAAACUGGAAGGGGAGAGGUGCAGAUAUGAAACUCAGAGCCGAGUUAUUUUCUGUUCCCAGCCUUGUCUGGCACAGGCCUGGGCCCCCAUUCAGCUAACGUUUAUUGAAUAGAUAUGUUCUGCCCCUAUGGCUCGCACUCCAUGGCUCUCAUUUGCCUGAAAGGCCACGCCCAAACUCCCCAGCCUGGCCUUCAAUGCCUUGCUCAAGCUGCCCUGUUAACCUACUGCUGUUUCCUCUUGACUGUCUCCAGCCAUCUUGAAUUUACCAGCAUGACUCUCUAAGCCUUUGCAUGUGCUGUUUCCUGCCAGGAAAGCCCUUCCUUUGAGGCCACAUGUUAAGAUAUUUUUGAGGGGUCACUUCCUUCUUGGGAUCUCUUGGGUCCUUCUCACUGACCCUAGCUGACCACUGUGUUUGGAAUCAUCUUUCCUCUAGCUUCUGUUCCUACAAUGACUGAGAGGCCCUGUGUUCAGGGCUGAGACCUCCCUGGUGUGUCAGGGAGGGUCUGGGGAUGCCGGUGCAUGGGGGCUGGUCUCAGACGAGCCCCCUGCCCCCUUCUCCCAGUGACCCUCUCCUGGCUGGCCUACCCCGGGACUCUGACUACACUGUGACCUGCCACUGCUCAUCAUCCUUGCCCUCCACCGUGUGUUUGCCCACUGACAGGAAGUGUGACAAGUCCUGGGGCUCUUCCUCAGACAAGACCUUGGACUGUACAACUCAUUGGUCCAGGACCUCAGAUUUGGAGACCUUGGGGCCAGCCGCAUCUGAGAACACAGGGACGUGUGUAGACUGGAGGCCUGGGUGGGGCUCGGGGCUUCAGCCACAUGGGGCUCCCUUCUUCCCCAACCCAGACCUGAUGAAGGAGAGCUAUAAUGAACAGGACCUUCUGAAGAGGCACUACCACAUCACAAAGAAGUCCUUGGAUACCAACAGUUUCAAGGUCAAAGCUAAGUCCACCACAAUGAUCCCCGACUCCCAGAAGCAAUUGCGAGUUGAACUGGAGUCACUCAAGAGCCAGCUACAGGCCCAGACCAAGGCUUUUGAGUUCCUGAACCACUCAGUGACCCUGUUGGAGAAGGAGAGCUGCCUGCAGCAAAUCAAGAUCCAGCAGCUUGAAGAGGUGCUGAGCCCCACAGGCUGCGAGGUACAGAAGGAGCUGCACAAGUGGGGCCUGGAGCAGGGCCGGCAGGAGCUGUAUGGGGCCCUGGCCAAAGGCCUGCAGGGACUGCAGAAGACCCUGCAGGACAAUGAGGCCGUGCAGCAGGCCCGCAUCACCCGCUGCCUGCAGCUGCUGGCCCAGGAGAUCCAGGACAGCAAGAAGUUCCUAUGGGAGGAGCUGGAGCUGGUUCGAGAGGAGGUGACCUUCAUCUACCAGAAGCUCCAGGCUCAGGAGGAGGAGAUCACAGAGAACCUGGUGAACAUCCAGAAGAUGCAGAAGACACAGGUGAAGUGCCGCAAGGUGAGAGGAGAGGCCAGGGACCCUGUGUGAGGUAGGGGCAUGAGGGUCUCUGCUGGCCUCCACCAUCAGACUAGAACCAGAAGGCCUGGGUUCAAAUCCCAGUUCAGUAACUUACUGCUGCACAGCCUUAGGCAACUCAUUUCUUCUCUCUGGGCCUCAGUUUCCUCAUAUGUAUAAUGAAUGUAAUAACAACACAUCUCCACCGGAUCACAAAGCACUCAGUUGUUGUUGUUAGGUGCCAUCAAGCCAGUUCUGACUCAUAGCAACCCUAUGUACAACAGAACGAAACACUGGCCGGUCCUGCAUCAUCCUCGCAAUCAUUGCUAUAUUUUUAGCCCAUUGUUGCAUCCACUGUAUCAGUCCAUCUCAUUGAGGGUCUUCCUCUUUUUCACUGUUGCAGUACUUUACCAAGCAUGAUGUCCUUCUCCGGGGACUGGUCCCUCCUGAUAACGUGUGCAAAUUACGUGAGAAGAAGUCUUGCCAUCCUUGUUCUAAGGAGCAUUCUGGCUGUACUUUUUCCCAGACAGAUUUGUUCAUUCUGGCAGUCCAUGAUAUAUUCAAUAUUCUUCAGCAGCACCAUAAUUCAAAUGUAUCAAUUCUUCUUCGGUCUUCCUUAUUCAUUGCCUAGCUUAUGCAUUUCUCAUGCGAUUGAAAAUACCAUGGCUUGGGCCAGGCACACCUUAGUCCUCAAGGUGACAUCUUUACUUUUUAACACUUUAAUAGAUUUUUUGCACCACAUUUGCCCAACGCAAUACGUUUGAUUUCUUGACUGCUGCUUCCAUGGGCGUUGACUGUGGAUCCAAGUAAAAUGAAAUCGUUGACAACUUCAGCCUUUUCUCUUCUUAUCAUAAUGUUGCUUAUCAUGAUUUUUGUUUUCUUUAUGUUGAGGUGUAAUCCAUACAGAAGGCUGUGGUCUUUGAUCUUCAUCAGUCCUGACCAAGAUGAAGCAACAGAGGUAUGAGACAUGGAGGGAUACUGAGGAGACGCCAGGAGGCAGUGGCUCCUGGAAGGAUGACCUCCAGAAG